CUGGCCUCCAUUUGGCUGACAUGGCCUUAAAAGAACUCUGGCAGGGGAUCACGUCAUGCACGGAGACCUGACGUCGAACCGUGGCUGUAGCUACGAGCUGCCUGUUAGCGCAGUUAGCUGUGCAUCUAGUGGCCCUCAGCUGACUGGGGUCUCUGCAAACCAGGAGCUUGGAGCGGUGGGGGAGUGUCGGUGUUACAAUGCCAGCAGCCUCCGUCUUUGCUGGACUUCAGCCCAGUGUGUCGGUGGCUGACGGGCUGCUGAACACACCGUUCCUGGUGUAGAAGGUGUUCUUCACCACCGACGACUUGGCACGAGAUGGAGUUCUGUAAUCCAGAGUGUAGUCACCUGUAGGUCCGGGGCAGACCACAUUAAUGCAGAGUAAAACAACGACAGAGAGGAUGUGAUGAUGGCUGUGGUUUGGAUAAGAAGUGGAUGUCCUGCCAGGAAACAUGGUUGAACUCACCCAGCCUCCACCCGUACUCCCAGGACGAGAGCAGAGGGAAGUCAAACUUCUCCUCUGGUCUCAUCUGACCUCGUCUCUGCAGGUACUGUCGUCGUCCUUUCCCCUGCAGAGGACGUCUUGCUCAAAAUGACUUUGAAUAUAUGAUGUUUAAAGUAAAAAACAUGUAAUGACUGA
Acanthopagrus latus (yellowfin seabream) is the source of this 637-nucleotide long non-coding RNA. RefSeq lists it as uncharacterized. The transcript is spliced from 3 exons. NCBI's taxonomy places the organism in Eukaryota, Metazoa, Chordata, Actinopteri, Spariformes, Sparidae. The record is from RefSeq and is a predicted model, not a curated record.